CUACUCGAAAAGGAUUAGCAUAAUUGUGCCAUUUUGAGCCAAUAACCGAAAGCGUUCUGUCAUUUCGGCUUUGUGUACGACAUGUUUGAGGAAUUACACGAAGGAGGAGUCUCACUUCCCCCUUCUUU
This is a non-coding RNA of Caenorhabditis elegans, 128 nucleotides long. The record is from Ensembl. Lineage: Eukaryota; Metazoa; Nematoda; Chromadorea; Rhabditida; Rhabditidae.